RNAcentral lists this ribosomal RNA (28 nucleotides) under Rhodophyllus crassipes. Its description in RNAcentral is "partial 18S ribosomal RNA". Lineage: Eukaryota; Fungi; Basidiomycota; Agaricomycetes; Agaricales; Entolomataceae. The record is from RNAcentral.
GUAAGGUGAACCUGCGGAAGGAUCAUUA